RNAcentral lists this ribosomal RNA (274 nucleotides) under Hypochilus pococki. RNAcentral's name for it is "partial 12S ribosomal RNA". The record is from RNAcentral. Lineage: Eukaryota; Metazoa; Arthropoda; Arachnida; Araneae; Hypochilidae.
CGGCACUUGCUUUGAAUAGAGGAACUUGUAUUUUAAAUCGAUACCACACGUUAAUUUUGACUUAACUUAAGUUUAUAUACCGCCGUCUAGACUUAAUAAAAAAAUUAUUUUCAAAAAAAUAUUUAAUAUGACAGGUCAAGGUGUAGCCAACAUUUAAGUCAAUAUGAGUUACAUUAAACACCAUUUAAGGAGAUUAGUUCAAAAAUUAAUCACAAAAAGGAUCUAUAAGUAUUUUUUAAUUAAAAAUUAAUAAAUAAUUAAUUAACGAGUGUGU